This 253-nucleotide ribosomal RNA is filed under the name uncultured bacterium. RNAcentral's name for it is "partial 16S ribosomal RNA". It matches the Rfam family "Bacterial small subunit ribosomal RNA", at positions 524 to 776 of the family's 1533-position model. The record is from RNAcentral.
GACGAAGGGGGCUAGCGUUGUUCGGAAUUACUGGGCGUAAAGCGCGUGUAGGCGGUUGCCCAAGUCGGGUGUGAAAGCCUUGAGCUCAACUCAAGAAAUGCACUCGGUACUGGGUGACUAGAGGACCGGAGAGGAUAGUGGAAUUCCCAGUGUAGUGGUGAAAUACAUAGAGAUUGGGAAGAACACCAGUGGCGAAGGCGGCUAUCUGGACGGUUUCUGACGCUAAGACGCGAAAGCGUGGGGAGCAAACAGG